Oncorhynchus tshawytscha (Chinook salmon) is the source of this 3636-nucleotide long non-coding RNA. The record is from Ensembl. Lineage: Eukaryota; Metazoa; Chordata; Actinopteri; Salmoniformes; Salmonidae.
CGUGGUCAGCUUCCCCGAAGGGAGGGCGGGGGAGGGCCUUAUAUGUGUCGCGGAAGCUAGAAUAACAAUGAUCCAGGGUUUUACCAGCCCUGGUUGCACAAUCGAUAUGCUGAUAGAAUUUAGGGAGUCUUGUUUUCCGAUUGGCCUUGUUAAAAUCCCCAUCUACAAUUAAUGCAGCCUCAGGAUAUGUGGUUUCCCGUUUACAUAGAGUCAAAUGAAGUUCUUUCAGGGCCAUCGAUGUGUCUGCUUGGGGGGGGGGGUAUAUGCGGCUGUGACUAUAAUCGAAGAGAAUUCUCUUGGUCGACAUUUGAUUGUGAGGAAUUCUAAGUCAGGUGAACAGAAGGACUUGAGUUCCUGUAUGUUAUUAUGAUCACACCAUGUCUCGUUAAUCAUAAGGCCCCCCCCGCCCUUCUUCUUACCAGAAACAUGAUUGUUUCUGUCGGCGCGAUGCGUGAAGAAACCAGCUUGCUGUACCGACUCCGAUUGCGUGUUUCGAGUGAGCCAUGUUUCCGUGAAGCAAAGAACGUUACAGUCUCUCUGGAAUGCUACCCUUGCUCGGAUUUCAUCUACCUUGUUGUCAAGAGAUUGGACAUCGGCGAGUAGUUUUCUCGGGAGCGGUGAGCGAUGUGCCCGUCUCCGGAGCCUGACCAGAAGACCGCUUCGUCUGCCUCUUUUACGGCGUCAUUGUUUUGGUUCGCCGGCUGGGAUCCGAUCCAUUGUCCUGGGUGGUGGGCAAAACAGAGGAUCCGCUUCGGGAAAGUCAUAUUCCUGGUCGUAAUGAUGGUGAGUUGACGUCGCUCUUAUAUCUAGUAGUUCCUCCCGACUGUAUGUAAUAAAACCUAAGAUUACCUGGGGUACCAAUGUAAGAAAUAACACACAAAAAAAACAAAAUACUGCAUAGUUUCCUAGGAACACGAAGGGAGGCGGCCAUCUGUCGGCGCCGGAAGUAUGUUCGUAUUUUCUACUCUCUUGUGGGAAACCCUCACUGUUGCGCAGAUAUUUAGAAACUAAAUUGAACUUUCCACAGCUAUAUUCAAUGUGCGGGACAAAAUUGAGGCUAUGAUUAAGAAGGUGGAGCCCAUUUCUGUCUGCAUUAACAAGGACAACACACAGGCUUUUCAUCAUUGUAUGAUUUUUAAAUUUUUAAAUGAAGUGUGCAAAUGAACAAGAUUAUGGACAAUGUCAAAUGUGAUAUAGCGAAGCACCUGAGUGAGCUGGGUGUGCAAUUACACAGACACUUUCCCGAAAAUGCCCUGCCUCCAGUCCAGUUACCGAUAUCUGAACAAGAGAGCCUCAUUGAAAUUGUAACAAGCGGUUCUGUGAAAAUGUAAUCAGAAGCCACUGCCAGAUUUCUGGAUAGGGUUGUGCUUAGUUUCUUGCCUUGGCAAAUCGCACUGUUAAGACACUGAUGCCCUUUGCAACCACAUACCUAUGUGAGUGUAUUCUCGGCCCUCACUAGCAUAAAACUAAAUACAGGCACAGACUGUGUGGAAAAUUAUUUAAGACAGACUCUCCAAUACAACCCAACAUUGCAGAGUUAUGUGCAUCCUUUCAAGCACCCUUUUUUCAUUAACCUGUGGCGUGUUAUUCACGAUUUAAUGAAAAAAUAAUUUAGCCAUCUUAAAUAUAAAACCUUAAGAGCAAAAGUAUUAUAUUAUUUGUGCCCUGGUCCAAAAUAGUUCUUUGUCACUUCCCACAUGCUGGGUUGUGACAACAACUCACACUCAUUCUUAUGUGUAAUAAAUGACAAUGACAAAAAACAAAAAACAAUGACAAAAAACAACAUUUGAGAGUGCGCUGACCCUGGUGCAAGAGCUGGAGGUUGAAUUUUAAAAAUGUUUAACCCCUUUUUCGUGGUAUCCAAAUGGUGUCUCAUCGCUGCAACUCCCGUAUGGACUCGGGAGAGGCAAAGGUCGAGAGCAAUGUCACAGGAGAGCAAGCCACAGGAGUCGCUAGUGCACGAUGAGACAAGGAUAUCCCUGCCGGCCAAACCCUCCCUAACCCGGACGACGCUGGGCCAAUUGUGCGUCGCCCCAUGGACUUCCCAGUCGCGGCCGGCUGCGACAGAGCCUGGGCUCGAACCCAGAAUCUCUUAGACCACUGCGCCACCCGGGAGGCCAAUUUUGAAUGGGAAGGGGGUGCUGGUGACGGAGCUGACCCACAUGGAGCAGCACUUCCCGUCCAUCAGGAGGAAGCUGGAACGGGUGUAGGAGAGGAUGAGAGCCCUAGACAUGGCCAAGCAGGUCGGACAGCACCACUCCCUGGAGAGCUACUGUGACCUGGAGCAGCUGUGUAGUUCAUCAACAUGAGCUGAAUAGGAGACUGAAGAUCAACAUUCGGAAUGCCAAGGUUGCGCCCGAGUGGCGCAGCGGUCUAAGGCACUGCAUCUCUAUAGUGACGCGUCUAGCACUGACACCCUGGUUCGAAUCCAGGCUGUAUCACAACUGGCCGUGAUUGGGAGUCCCAUAGUGCGGCACACAAUUGGCCCAGCAUCGUAAAUAAGAAUUUGUUCUUAACUGACUUGCCUAGUUAAUUAUAUAUACAUUUUUUUAUGUAAGUCCUGUAAUUGACAAUUUUUUUAGGGUUGGUCUUUUAAUUAUUAUUUUUUUACCUGGUUUAAGUGACUUGAGUCUGAGCAAGAGAGGCCCAGCAGUAGGCAGGGCCCAACAGGAAUGAUGAGACCUCCCCAUCCAGCAAUAGAGACCCUGUUCCCCCUCCAGGAGCAGGAAAGCUUGUGGAUGACUAGGCCUACCCGGGACCCCUGUCCCAGCCCUGGCCCUCACCCAAUCUCAGAUUCCGGACCCAACGUCAUAAUGGAGGAGAUUAUAGGAGAUUGAACAAGCAGACAAAGGGAAUUUAAAUCCAGCCAUCAACUCACCACAUCCAAAACCACUGCAGCUAGGUUCUCAACUGGAGUUAUCCCAGCACACCUAUCUGAGCUGCAAAGGCCACUGAGAGCCCAGAGGAGCAACAAGAAGAUCCAGGAGGACCUCCCACCUGUCAGUCAGAUCAACACUGUUGAUCUACACAACACACAUUUCACAUGACAACAUACACAAGAUUCUCUCUUGCGCCGUCUCGCCCUCUCAGACCUGCGAACGUUCGCUCCACCUGGACAGCCACAACGUGUGACUUCAUCUCCUAAUAUCUGACAGGAGCCAUGGUCAUAAAGAGAACACAGAGCAGCGUCCGGUGACAGUCACUGUACUGCCCCAGCCGGGCUGGGAAAGACGCCAGCAUCACAGACUUGCGGGUUAGUGAGGGCUUCGCUCUGAAAGAGGAGGCCACGGUGAGUAACAGAACUGUGUGGAUGUAUGUUUUACAGUUGAGUAGAAGAUGUUUCCUAGGACCCAUGUCUAUCUACUGGCUCUAGUUAUCUGCCCUCUCUCUGUCCCUGUGUCCUGUGCUAUGGAGUGUCCCCCAUUCUUAAACUAGAGGAGUUCUCCAACUGACUCCAAGGGCUUUCAAAACAGGACACCUGACUCAGAAAACCAGACCCCCUCCUUUGACCGGUUUGUCUCCCCUCCCAAGCCUGCCCCAUGUACCAACCCCUCCCCAGACAGAAAUGAAAAGUUUAUCAACAUUUGAUAUUUUUUGCUUUGAACUGGACAAAUUUUACAGAAAUUAUAAAUGAGC